GACGUAGGAGGCGAGCGUUGUCCGGAUUCAUUGGGCGUAAAGAGCGCGCAGGCGGCUUGGUAAGUCGGAUGUGAAAUCCCCGGGCUCAACCCGGGAACUGCGUCCGAUACUGGCGGGCUUGAAUCCGGGAGAGGGAUGCGGAAUUCCAGGUGUAGCGGUGAAAUGCGUAGAGAUGUGGAGGAACACCUGUGGCGAAGGCGCCUUGCUGGCCGAUUUCUGACGCUGAGGCGCGAAAGCGUGGGGAGCAAACAGG
This 253-nucleotide ribosomal RNA is filed under the name uncultured bacterium. RNAcentral's name for it is "partial 16S ribosomal RNA". It matches the Rfam family "Bacterial small subunit ribosomal RNA", at positions 524 to 776 of the family's 1533-position model. The record is from RNAcentral.